AGAGUUUGAUCCUGGCUCAGGAUGAACGCUGGCGGCGUGGAUAAGGCAUGCAAGUCGAACGGAUUCUUUAUUGAAAAGAUUUGAGAUUACAUCAAGAUGAAAAGAUAUAAAGAAUUAGUGGCAGACGAGGUAGUAACACGUGGGUACAUUCCCUUUAGUCACGAAUAGCCCGCCGAAAGGCGGAGUAAUACGUGAUGGUCUCGAAAGAGUAAAGAUUUAUCGCUAAAGGAUUGGCCUGCGGGGUAUCAGCUAGUUGGCAGUGUAAUAGACUACCAAGGCUAUGACGCCUAGGGGAGGUGAGAGCCUGACCCCCACCGAUGGGACUGAGACACGGCCCAUACACCUACGGGUGGCUGCAGUCGAGAAUCUUCCACAAUGGACGAAAGUCUGAUGGAGCGACGCCGCGUGAUUGAUGAAGUCCUUCGGGACGUAAAGAUCUUUUAUGAGGGAAGAAGUUUAUUGACGGUACCUCAUGAAUAAGGGGCUCCUAAUCUCGUGCCAGCAGGAGCGGUAAUACGAGAGCCCCGAGCGUUAUCCGGAAUUAUUGGGCGUAAAGGGUGCGUAGGCGGUUAUGUUAGUCGUGUGUUAAAACCCGAAGCUCAACUUCGGAUAUGCGCACGAAACGGCAUUGACUUAGAAUGAAGGAGAGGUGUGCGGAACUCAUGGUGUAGGGGUGAAAUCCGUUGAUAUCAUGGGGAACACCAAAAGCGAAAGCAGCACACUGGCCUUUUAUUGACGCUGAGGCACGAAAGCGUGGGUAGCGAAUGGGAUUAGAUACCCUGGUAGUCC
Molecule: ribosomal RNA, 789 nt
Filed under: uncultured bacterium
Lineage: Bacteria
Description: bacterial SSU rRNA
Rfam family: Bacterial small subunit ribosomal RNA
Source: RNAcentral